CCUACGGGAGGCAGCAGUGGGGAAUAUUGGACAAUGGGGGCAACCCUGAUCCAGCCAUGCCGCGUGUGUGAAGAAGGCCCUCGGGUUGUAAAGCACUUUCAGUGAGGAAGAACGCCUGGUGGUUAAUACCCAUCAGGAAAGACAUCACUCACAGAAGAAGCACCGGCUAACUCCGUGCCAGCAGCCGCGGUAAUACGGAGGGUGCGAGCGUUAAUCGGAAUUACUGGGCGUAAAGCGCGCGUAGGUGGCUUGAUAAGCCGGUUGUGAAAGCCCCGGGCUCAAACUGGGAACGGCAUCCGGAACUGUCAAGCUAGAGUGCAGGAGAGGAAGGUAGAAUUCCCGGUGUAGCGGUGAAAUGCGUAGAGAUCGGGAGGAAUACCAGUGGCGAAGGCGGCCUUCUGGACUGAAACUGACACUGAGGUGCGAAAGCGUGGGUAGCAAACAGGAUUAGAUACCCUUGUAGUC
RNAcentral lists this ribosomal RNA (465 nucleotides) under Vreelandella stevensii. RNAcentral describes it as "partial 16S ribosomal RNA". It matches the Rfam family "Bacterial small subunit ribosomal RNA", at positions 338 to 795 of the family's 1533-position model. Lineage: Bacteria; Pseudomonadati; Pseudomonadota; Gammaproteobacteria; Oceanospirillales; Halomonadaceae. The record is from RNAcentral.